UGAGGAAUAUUGGUCAAUGGGCGGGAGCCUGAACCAGCCAAGCCGCGUGAGGGAAGAAGGCCCUAUGGGUCGUAAACCUCUUUUGUCAGGGAACAAAAGCGAGUAUGUAUACUGGUCUGAGUGUACCUGAAGAAAAAGCAUCGGCUAACUCCGUGCCAGCAGCCGCGGUAAUACGGAGGAUGCGAGCGCUAUCCGGAUUUAUUGGGUUUAAAGGGUGCGUAGGCGGCGGUGCAAGUCAGCGGUAAAAGCCCGUGGCUCAACCCCGGCGAGCCGUUGAAACUGCAGUGCUAGAGAAGGCGAGAGGUACGCGGAAUGCGCAGUGUAGCGGUGAAAUGCUUAGAUAUUGCGCAGAACUCCGAUUGCGAAGGCAGCGUACUGGCGCCUGACUGACGCUGGGGCACGAAAGCGUGGGGAUCGAACAGGAUUAGAUACCC
Molecule: ribosomal RNA, 434 nt
Filed under: uncultured bacterium
Lineage: Bacteria
Description: bacterial SSU rRNA
Rfam family: Bacterial small subunit ribosomal RNA
Source: RNAcentral